UAAUUGAGACUGCACCUGCUGAGAAUUAAACAGCCAAUUAGAGGCUUCACGGAGUCCUCCCAGCCCACCUCUAGUCCAAUUACCGAGGAAGCUUCCACCUCCUCUCUGGGGGAUAAUCCGCGCUCCUGAGUCUGGGACCGAGGUGCGAGGGCGUGGAGUCACUCAUGCGUGUCACCGUUAGCAAAAAAUUAGUGCCUUUGUACAAAGCCAGUGCCACCCGACACCCCAGUUACCGUGGGGAAAGCAGCCUUGAGAUGGGCGAUGCUCCGCCGCUUGUUUCCUCUGUGAUCUUUUGCCUUGAUUGGUUCUAAUACUGUGGCAGGGACUCAGGAGGCAUGGAAAACAUUUGUUUUUGUUUUGAAAACCUGAAACAGCUUGGGAGAGGUUGAGGGGAAGGAGCUGCUCGGAGGAGUGAACAGACGAUGAAGACGGAUACGGCAGCAGGAGAGAUGGAGAGGAACCCGAGUUUGAGCGCGUGGUGAUUUAUUUUAGAGUGUGAGAGAGCGAGAGAGAGAGAGAGCAAGGAGGGAGGGACAGAAGGAGAGAGAGAAAAUCUCAAGCAGACGCCACGCUGAGCGCAGAGCCCCAGUGGGGUUCGAUCUCAGGACUCUGAGAUCAUGAUCUACGCUGAAAUCAAGAGUAGGACACUCAACCGACUGAGCCACCCAGGAGCCCCUAAUUUCCAUUUAAGUCAGAGAGAGACACAGCGAGAGAGGGAACACAAGCAGGAGGAGUGGGAGAGGGAGAAGCAGGCUUCCCGCUGAGCAGGGAGCCUGAUGCGGGGCUCGAUCCCAGGACCCUGGGAUCAUGACCUGAACCGAAGGCAGACACUUAACGACUGAGCCACCCAGGCGCCCCUCAAUAAUGAAUUUUAUGAAACCUAAGAACAGCUCCGAUCUUUCUGGGGAAAAUUUUGUGAUUGAACUGAGAUGUGCUAUAAGUGUAAGCUAUACACUGGAUUUCAAACACGUAAUAUGAAAAAAUAAUUAAAAUAUUUCAUUAUUAAUUUUCAUAUUGAUAACAUGCUGAAAUGAUCAUCGUUUGGGUACCCUGGGUUAAAUAAAAUAUAGUAUCAAAAUGUAAUUGUAUCUGGGUCUUUUGCUUUUUAAAUGUAAUACUAGAACAUUUGAAAUUACGUGGGUGACUCACAUUCUGUUGCUAUUGGGCAGUGUUGCUCCGAGACUCUGGGACUCAGGCAGCUGCAUCUUCUGCUCUAGGGCACAUCAUCUGUCCCUCACUGCCUCUGGGGGCUCCCCAGAGAUUUGUCUGCACAGCAGUGCUGCUUCUGUCCUCUCCUGCAUCGCAGAGUGGGCAACUAGAGUAAGAACCUCUAGUACUAGACCUCCAAGUCUCAACCUAGUAAGCUGCGGGUAGAAGAUCUCGGAGAAGAAAGGGCUGUGCCAGCGAAACCU
This is a long non-coding RNA of Mirounga angustirostris (Northern elephant seal), 1412 nucleotides long. RefSeq lists it as uncharacterized. The transcript is spliced from 3 exons. Lineage: Eukaryota; Metazoa; Chordata; Mammalia; Carnivora; Phocidae. The record is from RefSeq and is a predicted model, not a curated record.